RNAcentral lists this ribosomal RNA (462 nucleotides) under uncultured bacterium. RNAcentral's name for it is "partial 16S ribosomal RNA". It matches the Rfam family "Bacterial small subunit ribosomal RNA", at positions 28 to 507 of the family's 1533-position model. The record is from RNAcentral.
GACGAACGCUGGCGGCGUGCUUAACACAUGCCAGUCGAGCGGAAAGGCCCUUCGGGGUACUCGAGCGGCGAACGGGUGAGUAACACGUGAGUAACCUGCCCCAGACUUUGGGAUAACCCUCGGAAACGGGGGCUAAUACCGGAUACGACACAGCUUCGCAUGGGGUCUGUGUGGAAAGUUUUUCGGUUUGGGAUGGGCUCGCGGCCUAUCAGCUUGUUGGUGGGGUGAUGGCCUACCAAGGCGACGCCGGGUAGCCGGCCUGAGAGGGCGACCGGCCACACUGGGACUGAGACACGGCCCAGACUCCUACGGGAGGCAGCAGUGGGGAAUAUUGCACAAUGGGCGGAAGCCUGAUGCAGCGACGCCGCGUGAGGGAUGACGGCCUUCGGGUUGUAAACCUCUUUCAGCAGGGACGAAGCGUAAGUGACGGUACCUGGAGAAGAAGCGCCGGCCAACUACGUG